CCUACGGGGGGCAGCAGUGGGGAAUAUUGCGCAAUGGGCGAAAGCCUGACGCAGCGACGCCGCGUGAGGGAUGAAGGUCUUCGGAUCGUAAACCUCUGUCAGCAGGGAAGAACGGUCACUGUGCUAAUCAGCAGUGAAUUGACGGCACCUGCAAAGGAAGCACCGGCUAACUCCGUGCCAGCAGCCGCGGUAAUACGGAGGGUGCGAGCGUUAAUCGGAAUUACUGGGCGUAAAGGGCUCGUAGGCGGUAUGGCAAGUCAAGGGUGAAAUCCCCGCGCUCAACGUGGGAACUGCCUUUGAAACUGGCAAGCUGGAGUGUGUGAGAGGAUAGUGGAAUUCCAGGUGUAGGGGUGAAAUCCGUAGAUAUCAGGAGGAACAUCAGUGGCGAAGGCGACCAUCUGGCACGUAACUGACGCUGAGGAGCGAAAGCGUGGGUAGCAAACAGGAUUAGAUACCCCAGUAGUC
Molecule: ribosomal RNA, 465 nt
Filed under: uncultured bacterium
Lineage: Bacteria
Description: partial 16S ribosomal RNA
Rfam family: Bacterial small subunit ribosomal RNA
Source: RNAcentral